Molecule: ribosomal RNA, 778 nt
Filed under: Ruegeria sp. AU165_Ted1_R2A
Lineage: Bacteria; Pseudomonadati; Pseudomonadota; Alphaproteobacteria; Rhodobacterales; Roseobacteraceae
Description: bacterial SSU rRNA
Rfam family: Bacterial small subunit ribosomal RNA
Source: RNAcentral
AGCGCACCUUCGGGUGAGCGGCGGACGGGUUAGUAACGCGUGGGAACAUACCCUUUGGUACGGAAUAGCCUCUGGAAACGGAGAGUAAUACCGUAUGAGCCCUUCGGGGGAAAGAUUUAUCGCCAAAGGAUUGGCCCGCGUUAGAUUAGGUAGUUGGUGGGGUAAUGGCCUACCAAGCCUACGAUCUAUAGCUGGUUUUAGAGGAUGAUCAGCAACACUGGGACUGAGACACGGCCCAGACUCCUACGGGAGGCAGCAGUGGGGAAUCUUGGACAAUGGGGGCAACCCUGAUCCAGCCAUGCCGCGUGAGUGAUGAAGGCCUUAGGGUCGUAAAGCUCUUUCGCCUGUGAAGAUAAUGACGGUAGCAGGUAAAGAAACCCCGGCUAACUCCGUGCCAGCAGCCGCGGUAAUACGGAGGGGGUUAGCGUUGUUCGGAAUUACUGGGCGUAAAGCGCACGUAGGCGGACUGGAAAGUUGGGGGUGAAAUCCCAGGGCUCAACCCUGGAACUGCCUCCAAAACUAUCAGUCUAGAGUUCGAGAGAGGUGAGUGGAAUUCCGAGUGUAGAGGUGAAAUUCGUAGAUAUUCGGAGGAACACCAGUGGCGAAGGCGGCUCACUGGCUCGAUACUGACGCUGAGGUGCGAAAGUGUGGGGAGCAAACAGGAUUAGAUACCCUGGUAGUCCACACCGUAACGAUGAAUGCCAGUCGUCGGGUAGCAUGCUAUUCGGUGACACACCUAACGGAUUAAGCAUUCCGCCUGGGGAGUACGGUCGCAAGA